GCGGAAUUAACUCAGUGGUAGAGUACUCUCGUCUGAGAGAGAAGUCGCUAGUUCAAAUCUAGCAUUCCGCUCCA
RNAcentral lists this transfer RNA (74 nucleotides) under Candidatus Falkowiibacteriota bacterium. RNAcentral describes it as "tRNA-OTHER". It matches the Rfam family "tRNA". From Rfam's summary of the family: Transfer RNA (tRNA) molecules are approximately 80 nucleotides in length. The record is from RNAcentral. Lineage: Bacteria; Candidatus Falkowiibacteriota.